Ochotona princeps (American pika) is the source of this 116-nucleotide ribosomal RNA. The record is from Ensembl. NCBI's taxonomy places the organism in Eukaryota, Metazoa, Chordata, Mammalia, Lagomorpha, Ochotonidae.
GUCUACGGUCACACCACCCUGAAUGCGCCUGAUCUCGUCUGAUCUCGGAAGCUAAGCAGGGUCGGGCCUGGUUAGUACUUGGAUGGGAGAAAAAUGUGAGAUCUGUGCUGCAGCCA